RNAcentral lists this ribosomal RNA (374 nucleotides) under uncultured organism. RNAcentral's name for it is "bacterial SSU rRNA". It matches the Rfam family "Bacterial small subunit ribosomal RNA", at positions 526 to 896 of the family's 1533-position model. The record is from RNAcentral.
CGUAGGGUGCGAGCGUUAAUCGGAAUUACUGGGCGUAAAGCGUGCGCAGGCGGUUUUGUAAGACAGGCGUGAAAUCCCCGGGCUCAACCUGGGAACUGCGCUUGUGACUGCAAGGCUAGAGUACGGCAGAGGGGGGGUGGAAUUCCACGUGUAGCAGUGAAAUGCGUAGAGAUGUGGAGGAACACCAAUGGCGAAGGCAGCCCCCCUGGGUCGAUACUGACGCUCAUGCACGAAAGCGUGGGUAGCAAACAGGAUUAGAUACCCUGGUAGUCCACGCCCUAAACGAUGUCAACUAGGUGUUGGGUGGGUAAAACCAUUUAGUACCGGAGCUAACGCGUGAAGUUGACCGCCUGGGGAGUACGGCCGCAAGGUUA